CCUACGGGAGGCAGCAGUGAGGAAUAUUGGUCAAUGGGCGAGAGCCUGAACCAGCCAAGUAGCGUGAAGGAUGACUGCCCUACGGGUUGUAAACUUCGUUUAUAAAGGAAUAAAGUGAGGCACGUGUGCCUGUUUGUAUGUAUUUUAUGAAUAAGGAUCGGCUAACUCCGUGCAAGCAGCCGCGGUAAUACGGAGGAACCGAGCGUUAUCCGGAUUUAUUGGGGUUAAAGGGAGCGUAGAUGGGUUGUUAAGUCAGUUGUGAAAGUUUGCGGCUCAACCGUAAAAUUGCAAUUGAUACUGGCAGUCUUGAGUACAGUUGGGGUAGGCGGAAUUCGUGGUGUAGCGGUGAAAUGCUUAGAUAUCACGAAGAACUCCGAUUGCGAAGGCAGCUUACUAAACUGCCACUGACAUUGAGGCUCGAAAGUGUGGGUAUCAAACAGGAUUAGAUACCACUGUAGUC
This 460-nucleotide ribosomal RNA is filed under the name uncultured bacterium. RNAcentral's name for it is "partial 16S ribosomal RNA". It matches the Rfam family "Bacterial small subunit ribosomal RNA", at positions 338 to 795 of the family's 1533-position model. The record is from RNAcentral.